GCAGACCCUUGGUGCACUACUACAUCGAUCGCAGUAACUGGAUGUAAUUGAAGUUUUUGGAAAAAGAUUUUGAAAGACUAUUGGGUGCUUUCCCAGAAUAUACCCACAAGAUGGCAGAGGAUGUUGUGACUGUCAAGUUGGUCUUCUUUGAGAAAGAUGAGAGAUGUGCAAAGUCAGAGCAUCACCAAAAUUAAACUCGAACUGUGUCAAAAGGGAUGUCCGACAAAUAGUAGUCUUUCUGAAGACCUUCUUAAUUGAUGUGGAAUACAUGACUAUUUAAUUGCAGAAGGCACAUAUCAAGCACAUGUCCUCACUUUGCCUUGCCAAUUGACCAAAUCAAUGGUUGACAGCAGUUGAAUAGAGCCACAGUGAUGUCAUACAACCCUCUGCCUAUGGCUGCUGACUUAAAUAGCUUGACAGUUUUGUAUUCAAAAAAUAGAAAAAUAAGAGUAGGUGAAGAAAUGUAUUAGUAGUACUAGGACCGUUAUUAAUUUUCAUCCAGAUUUUAAUUUUUUUUUUUCCAUACCAUGAAUAAUCAAUUUGUUGCAAAUGUUAAUUGUAUAUCAAAUAGUUUAAGGCUAGUUAAUUUUAAAUAUUUUGAUUCUAAAAUUGUUGAAAAGUAUAUGUCCAUUGUAUAAAAUUUAAGCAGUGAAUUCGUUAAGUUAGGUGAGUGUUAGUACUAGGUACCUUAUGAUUGUUGGUGUG
Saccostrea echinata is the source of this 705-nucleotide long non-coding RNA. RefSeq lists it as uncharacterized. The record is from RefSeq and is a predicted model, not a curated record. The transcript has 4 exons. Lineage: Eukaryota; Metazoa; Mollusca; Bivalvia; Ostreida; Ostreidae.